RNAcentral lists this ribosomal RNA (166 nucleotides) under uncultured bacterium. Its description in RNAcentral is "partial 16S ribosomal RNA". It matches the Rfam family "Bacterial small subunit ribosomal RNA", at positions 1327 to 1500 of the family's 1533-position model. The record is from RNAcentral.
UGGAUUCGCUAGUAAUCGCGCAUCAGCCAUGGCGCGGUGAAUAUGUUCCCGGGCCUUGUACACACCGCCCGUCAAGCCAUGGAAGCCGGGGGUGCCUGAAGUGUGCAGCCGCAAGGAGCGCCCUAAGGUAAAACCGGUGACUGGGGCUAAGUCGUAACAAGGUAUC